RNAcentral lists this ribosomal RNA (393 nucleotides) under uncultured bacterium. Its description in RNAcentral is "bacterial SSU rRNA". It matches the Rfam family "Bacterial small subunit ribosomal RNA", at positions 28 to 421 of the family's 1533-position model. The record is from RNAcentral.
GACGAACGCUGGCGGCGUGCUUAACACAUGCAAGUCGAGCGGUAAGGCCCUUUCGGGGGUACGACGAGCGGCGAACGGGUGAGUAACACGUGGGUGACCUGCCCUCAGCUCUGGGAUAAGCCUGGGAAACUGGGUCUAAUACUGGAUAUGACUCCACGGUGCAUGUCGUGGGGUGGAAAGCCUUGUGCGGCUGAGGACGGGCCCGCGGCCUAUCAGCUUGUUGGUGGGGUGAUGGCCUACCAAGGCGACGACGGGUAGCCGGCCUGAGAGGGCGACCGGCCACACUGGGACUGAGACACGGCCCAGACUCCUACGGGAGGCAGCAGUGGGGAAUCUUGCGCAAUGGGCGAAAGCCUGACGCAGCGACGCCGCGUGAGGGAUGACGGCCUGUGU